RNAcentral lists this ribosomal RNA (288 nucleotides) under Concinnum ten. RNAcentral describes it as "partial 28S ribosomal RNA". It matches the Rfam family "Eukaryotic large subunit ribosomal RNA", at positions 1 to 269 of the family's 3401-position model. The record is from RNAcentral. Lineage: Eukaryota; Metazoa; Platyhelminthes; Trematoda; Plagiorchiida; Dicrocoeliidae.
CCCUGACCUCGGAUCAGACGUGAUUACCCGCUGAACUUAAACAUAUCACUAAGCGGAGGAAAAGAAACUAACAAGGAUUCCCUCAGUAACUGCGAGUGAACAGGGAAAAGCCCAGCACCGAAGCCUGUGACCAGUUGGUCACUAGGCAAUGUGGUGUUUAGGUCGUUCCGCAGAAGCACUGCUCCACCCCAAGUCCAUUAAUGAGUACGGUAGUACAUACAUGGCCCAUGGAGGGUGAAAGGCCCGUUCGGGUGGAGAUUCGGCAGGCCAGUGCUUCUCUGGGUAGAC